This 492-nucleotide ribosomal RNA is filed under the name uncultured bacterium. Its description in RNAcentral is "partial 16S ribosomal RNA". It matches the Rfam family "Bacterial small subunit ribosomal RNA", at positions 29 to 507 of the family's 1533-position model. The record is from RNAcentral.
AGUGAACGCUGGCGGUAGGCCUAACACAUGCAAGUCGAACGGCAGCACAGUAAGAGCUUGCUCUUACGGGUGGCGAGUGGCGGACGGGUGAGGAAUACAUCGGCAUCUUCUUUUUCGUGGGGGAUAACGUAGGGAAACUUACGCUACUACCGCAUAUGACCUACGGGUGAAAGCAGGGGAUCUUCGGAACUUGCGCGACUGAAUGAGCCGAUGUCGGAUUAGCUAGUUGGCGGGGUAAAGGCCCACCAAGGCGACGAUCCGUAGCUGGUCUGAGAGGAUGAUCAGCCACACUGGAACUGAGACACGGUCCAGACUCCUACGGGAGGCAGCAGUGGGGAAUAUUGGACAAUGGGCGCAAGCCUGAUCCAGCCAUACCGCGUGGGUGAAGAAGGCCUUCGGGUUGUAAAGCCCUUUUGUUGGGAAAGAAAAGCAGCAGGUUAAUACCCCGCUGUUCUGACGGUACCCAAAGAAUAAGCACCGGCUAACUUCGUG